UUAAAAGCUAAAUACAUUAAAAAAAAUAUUGUGUCAAAGAAAACAUUUUAUGUUUUAGGUAUUUUUAUUAGUUAAUAAUUAAAAUCAAACUUAAACAUAAUUGUAUUUGUUAAAAUACUAUUGGCGUACAGUUACUGGAAAUUGGUAAACACAGAAAAUAAUAUAUUUAUCAUUAAAAUUUAAUAUAUUUUAACAUGUGUAAAAACAUUUAAACACACAUUUUUAGAAAUAUAAACAAAUAUUAAACAAUCAAAUAUCUAGUCCAGAUGGAGUUAAAAAAAAACAGCUAGUGUCCAAUUAUAUUUAAACUCAUUUAUUCUUCAUGUAUUUGCAUUUUUAAUGCAUGUUAAAUUCUGUGACUGGUCAUUUUGCACGACUUAAAAAUUAUUAUUUAUUUUAAAUAAAUAUUUUGCAGUUUUCACAUGUAUUAAAGAAAAUAUUAAAUGAUGACAAAAAAUAAAGAAAAUAUUAAAUUUUAAUUAUAACUGCAUCAUUUUAUAAUUUAUUUUAUAUAUAUUUGAACAAAAGGAAUUUAUUAAAUACAAUUAUUUUCUACAAACUUAAAAAUCCUCAUUAUUGCCUAAUAGAAAAUGCACUGAAAACAUAAAAUAUAAAUUUUAACAAAUAUUUUUUUCUUAAAUAUAUAUCUUAAAGAAAAACUGAGGGAAUGUUAGAUAUAUGUGAUGUCUUGUAUUCAACACUAUGUAUGUGACCGUUGUUUUUUUUUUUGAACUAAGAACUUCAAAUCUAUAAUAGUUUCUCUUUUUAUAUGGCAUGUCAAUUACUUACAAUGAAUUUUUUGCAUUUCGUAUAAUUUGAGUGUACUAUAGAGGUUUUUAAAAAAAUGUUGAGUAGAAAUUGAUUGAAAUAGGAAAGUAUACUACUACAAUCUAAAUUCAGAAAAAAAAAAGAAUUAGAGAGCAGAAAUAAAAUGAGAAAAAAGUUGGAGGCAGUAAAUGAAGAACGCUAAGAUUGGGCAGAUCAAUAACCCAACUACUCCUCUGACUAACUUUUAUAGACAACCCUCCUUUCUCUUUUUGAUUCCCCUUCCAUUUUUCAUAUACCAUCUUGCUACAAAUAUUAUUAUUAUAUUGUCAUCUUAUGGUUUGAUAGUCUCUUAAUAUGUAUCCAUUUACGGUCACUGAUUAUCAUCAUCUUCCUUGUUUUCCCCCUCUAACUUGGUCAAAAGUUGCAAACGCUAAAUUCUGAAAAAAGAAAAAGAAAAAUCUCACAUAUACAUAUUUAAAGAAAAUGGGGAGGGGUUUGGAGUCUAUCGACUACGUUUUUGCUUUAACCGGUAAAAUAACAUGGUAAAAUGGGAAAUCCAUUGACAUGUCUCAAAAAGUAAAUCCAAACGUUUACGUUGAAAUCUUGAAACUUGAAAUAAUUGUUUUACACUGUUGACCAAGUAAGAAAAAGAAAUAUAUAUAUAUACACACACACAUAAAUAGCUGUAGGACACAUCCAGCCAGAACCCAUGUUUAUUUUGUCUUGUAUGUUCUCUCUCCGCUACUUCCCCUCAUGAGUCCUUCUCUUCAUAAAAACCUCUUAUUUAUUUAUCCUUCUUAUCAUUCUCGUCAUCAUCAUCUCAACAUUCAUCUCUUUCUCUCUCUCUUCCUUGAUCCCAGCCGGAUCUGAUGGGUGUUGGGAGGGGACGAACAAAGACAGAAAUAGAAAAUUUCUUGUAAAACCCUAAUAGAAAAAGUCUGGUUAUAAAGACGAGAAGGAUUUAUAGAGGGAUUUAUCUUUUGAGGGGACUGUUGUCUGGCUCGAGGACUCUUAUUCUAACUCAAUCACGUUUUAUAAAAUCUACUUGAUCUGAUGAUUGAUUAGGGUUUUAGUGUCUUCGGACCAGGCUUCAUUCCCCCCAAUUAUUACUUCCUCUCAAUCCUAAUUAACCAAGAAGUCUCUUCCUUUUUUUUCCUUUCUUUGUCAUUUUCGGAGUUAUGGUUCCGUUCCGAAUCUAUUUCAAUGUGAAAAUUUUGAUCUUAAAUUUUUUGUAUAAUUAAUUUAUGUGGUAGUUUCUGGCACUGCAUCUGGGUUUCAAUUGUGUUUGUUUGUUUCUUCUUUAAUAGAUUGGUGUAAUGAUGAAGGAAACUGACUCAUGUGAGAAACAGAAAAGUCUAUCAUCAUUACUAACUUUUUCUCGUUUAUUUGUUCUAGCUAUGAUUUUGUAAUGAUAUGUUUUUUGUUUGUUUAUUGUAUGAUGAUGUCAGUACGAAUUAUAGCUAGCAUUUAAAGAGUAGAUCUAUUGAUGGUCAUAAUCAAUGAUGAGGAUUCGGUUUCAGUUUCAGAUCCAUCUGUUUACAAGAAACUAAACCAGAUAUACUAGAUCUGAAGUACUUCAAGCAUAUGGAGGAUCAAGGAACUCGAUCGGGUUCUUCUCAUUUUGAAUAUUUCUAAUGCCGCAAUAUUGCGAAUGUCAUUUUUAACAGCUGUUUUAAAUGUUAUUCUUUUCUUUCUAUAAGUUGAACUUGCUAGUCUUUUUCAGUUGUUACUAGCUUCGCCUAAUCGUUAUUACAUCACCUAUUAUUACACUAAACUUGUAGUAUUAGUUAACUUUUGUUGACUUUAAUAGACUUAAAAGAGAGUAGAUUUAUA
Long non-coding RNA from Brassica napus (rape), 2601 nucleotides. RefSeq lists it as uncharacterized. NCBI's taxonomy places the organism in Eukaryota, Viridiplantae, Streptophyta, Magnoliopsida, Brassicales, Brassicaceae. The record is from RefSeq and is a predicted model, not a curated record. The transcript is spliced from 2 exons.